RNAcentral lists this ribosomal RNA (410 nucleotides) under uncultured microorganism. Its description in RNAcentral is "bacterial SSU rRNA". It matches the Rfam family "Bacterial small subunit ribosomal RNA", at positions 509 to 917 of the family's 1533-position model. The record is from RNAcentral.
CAGCAGCCGCGGUAAUACGUAGGGUGCGAGCGUUAAUCUGAUUUACUGGGCGUAAAGCGUGCGCAGGCGGCCCGUUAAGACAGGUGUGAAAUCCCUGGGCUCAACCUAGGAAUUGCGCUUGUGACUGGCGGGCUCGAGUACGGUAGAGGGGGGUGGAAUUCCUGGUGUAGCAGUGAAAUGCGUAGAGAUCAGGAGGAACACCGAUGGCGAAGGCAGCCCCCGGGGCCUGUACUGACGCUCAUGCACGAAAGCGUGGGGAGCAAAAAGGAUUAGAUACCCUGGUAGUCCACGCCCUAAACGAUGGGUACUAGCCGUUUGGUGCGCGAUAGCGCUGAGUGGCGAAGCUAACGCGUGAAGUACCCCGCCUGGGGAGUACGGCCGCAAGGUUGAAACUUAAAGGAAUUGGCGGG